AUGAGAUUGUUUGUGUUAUUUAUGAAUUUUAAGACCAAUUUGUGGAGAGUACGGUGUGAAAUGAUCUUUUCCAUGACAGCAUUCACAAGAAGAUUAUAAAGAUUAGCUGGGGUUUUUUUUAAGGAGUAAACAACAUCUGUCGGCUACGUAUGGGAUACUUUGCAAUCAUGUAAGUUUGCCAUGUGAGUGAUGUCAAGUGAAAAAAUGAGCCCGCAGCCCCAAACAUCCAAAA
Xenia sp. Carnegie-2017 is the source of this 232-nucleotide long non-coding RNA. RefSeq lists it as uncharacterized. The record is from RefSeq and is a predicted model, not a curated record. NCBI's taxonomy places the organism in Eukaryota, Metazoa, Cnidaria, Anthozoa, Malacalcyonacea, Xeniidae. The transcript is spliced from 2 exons.